AUUGAACGCUGGCGGCAUGCCUUACACAUGCAAGUCGAACGGCAGCACGGGAGCAAUCCUGGUGGCGAGUGGCGAACGGGUGAGUAAUAUAUCGGAACGUGCCCAGUGAUGGGGGAGUAGCCCGGCGAAAGACCGGAUUAAUACCGCAUACGACCUACGGGUGGAAAGACAGGGGAUCGCAAGACCUUGCGUCAUUGGAGCGGCCGAUAUCAGGUUAGCUUGUUGGNGGGGUAAAAGACCUACCAAGGCGACGAUCUGUAGCUGGUCUGAGAGGACGACCAGCCACACUGGGACUGAGACACGGCCCAGACUCCUACGGGAGGCAGCAGUGGGGAAUUUUGGACAAUGGGCGCAAGCCUGAUCCAGCCAUGCCGC
Molecule: ribosomal RNA, 375 nt
Filed under: uncultured bacterium
Lineage: Bacteria
Description: bacterial SSU rRNA
Rfam family: Bacterial small subunit ribosomal RNA
Source: RNAcentral